This 473-nucleotide ribosomal RNA is filed under the name uncultured bacterium. Its description in RNAcentral is "partial 16S ribosomal RNA". It matches the Rfam family "Bacterial small subunit ribosomal RNA", at positions 28 to 507 of the family's 1533-position model. The record is from RNAcentral.
GAUCAACGCUGGCGGCGCACAUAAGACAUGCAAGUUGAACGGACUUAAUCGAAAUAUUUCUAUUUUGAAGCGGUUAGUGGCGGACUGGUGAGUAACGCGUAAGGAACCUGCCUAUUAGAGGGGAAUAACAGUGAGAAAUCAUUGCUAAUACCGCAUAUGCCAUAGAUAUCACAUGAUAACAGUGGGAAAGGAGCAAUCCGCUAAUAGAUGGCCUUGCGUCUGAUUAGAUAGUUGGCGGGGUAACGGCCUACCAAGUCGACGAUCAGUAGCCGGACUGAGAGGUUGAACGGCCACAUUGGGACUGAGAUACGGCCCAGACUCCUACGGGAGGCAGCAGUCGGGAAUAUUGCGCAAUGGAGGAAACUCUGACGCAGUGACGCCGCGUAUAGGAAGAAGGUUUUCGGAUUGUAAACUAUUGUCGUUAGGGAAGAGAAAGGACAGUACCUAAGGAGGAAGCUCCGGCUAACUACGUG